CAAAACGUAGCUUAAAUCAAAGCAUCCGGCUUACACCCGGAAGAUCUCACAACAAAUGAUCGUUUUGA
Molecule: transfer RNA, 68 nt
Filed under: Mico humeralifer (Santarem marmoset)
Lineage: Eukaryota; Metazoa; Chordata; Mammalia; Primates; Cebidae
Description: tRNA-Val
Rfam family: tRNA
About the family: Transfer RNA (tRNA) molecules are approximately 80 nucleotides in length.
Source: RNAcentral